This 420-nucleotide ribosomal RNA is filed under the name bacterium. RNAcentral describes it as "partial 16S ribosomal RNA". It matches the Rfam family "Bacterial small subunit ribosomal RNA", at positions 355 to 776 of the family's 1533-position model. The record is from RNAcentral.
UGGGGGAUAUUGCACAAUGGGCGAAAGCCUGAUGCAGCGACGCCGCGUGGGGGAUGAAGGCUUUCGGGUUGUAAACCUCUUUCGCUAUCGAACAAGGCCCGCUUAGGGUGGGUUGAGGGUAGGUGGAGAAGAAGCGCCGGCUAACUACGUGCCAGCAGCCGCGGUAAUACGUAGGGCGCGAGCGUUGUCCGGAAUUAUUGGGCGUAAAGGGCUUGUAGGCGGCUUGUUGCGCCUGCUGUGAAAACGCGGGGCUUAACUUCGCGCGUGCAGUGGGUACGGGCAGGCUUGAGUGUGGUAGGGGUGACUGGAAUUCCAGGUGUAGCGGUGGAAUGCGCAGAUAUCUGGAGGAACGCCGAUGGCGAAGGCAGGUAACUGGGCCAUUACUGACGCUGAGGAGCGAAAGCAUGGGUAGCGAACAGG